Transfer RNA from Halobaculum gomorrense, 85 nucleotides. It matches the Rfam family "tRNA". Rfam says of the family: Transfer RNA (tRNA) molecules are approximately 80 nucleotides in length. Their secondary structure includes four short double-helical elements and three loops (D, anti-codon, and T loops). The record is from Rfam. Lineage: Archaea; Methanobacteriati; Methanobacteriota; Halobacteria; Halobacteriales; Haloferacaceae.
GCAGGGGUAGCCCAGUCUGGCCAACGGCGCAGCGUUCAGGGCGCUGUCCUGUAGAGGUUCGCAGGUUCAAAUCCUGCCCCCUGCA